GAUGAACGCUAGCUACAGGCUUAACACAUGCAAGUCGAGGGGUAACGAGAGGAAAGCUUGCUUUCCUUGUCGACGACCGGCGCACGGGUGAGUAACGCGUAUCCAACCUGCCCCCAACUAAGGAAUAACCUUGCGAAAGUAAGACUAAUACCUUAUAAUUUCCUCAGAUGUCAUCUGACGAGGAAUAAAGAUUUAUCGGUUGUGGAUGGGGAUGCGUCUGAUUAGCUUGUUGGCGGGGUAACGGCCCACCAAGGCAACGAUCAGUAGGGGUUCUGAGAGGAAGGUCCCCCACAUUGGAACUGAGACACGGUCCAAACUCCUACGGGGGGCAGCCGUGAGGAAUAUGGGUCAAUGGGCGGAAGCCUGAACCAGCCAAGUAGCGUGCAGGAUGACGGCCCUAUGGGUUGUAAACUGCUUUUAUACAGGAAUAAAGUUAGCCACGUGUGGUUAUUUGUAGGUACUGUAUGAAUAAGGACCGGCUAAUUCCGUGCCAGCAGCCGCCGUAA
Molecule: ribosomal RNA, 506 nt
Filed under: uncultured bacterium
Lineage: Bacteria
Description: partial 16S ribosomal RNA
Rfam family: Bacterial small subunit ribosomal RNA
Source: RNAcentral